CAGCACCUCAAGUGGUCAGGAUGAUUAUUGGGCCUAAAGCAUCCGUAGCCGGCGCUGUAAGUUUUCGGUUAAAUCUGUACGCUCAACGUAUGGGCUGCCGGGAAUACUGCAAAGCUAGGGAGUGGGAGAGGUAGGCGGUACUCGGUAGGAAGGGGUAAAAUCCUUUGAUCUAUUGAUGACCACCUGUGGCGAAGGCGGUCUACCAGAACACGUCCGACGGUGAGGGAUGAAAGCUGGGGGAGCAAACCGGAUUAGAUACCCGAGUAGUCC
This 270-nucleotide ribosomal RNA is filed under the name uncultured archaeon. RNAcentral's name for it is "partial 16S ribosomal RNA". It matches the Rfam family "Archaeal small subunit ribosomal RNA", at positions 477 to 747 of the family's 1478-position model. The record is from RNAcentral.